AGUGAACGCUGGCGGUAGGCCUAACACAUGCAAGUCGAACGGCAGCACAGUAAGAGCUUGCUCUUACGGGUGGCGAGUGGCGGACGGGUGAGGAAUACAUCGGAAUCUACUUUUUCGUGGGGGAUAACGUAGGGAAACUUACGCUAAUACCGCAUACGACCUACGGGUGAAAGCAGGGGAUCUUCGGACCUUGCGCGAUUGAAUGAGCCGAUGUCGGAUUAGCUAGUUGGCGGGUAAAGGCCCACCAAGGCGACGAUCCGUAGCUGGGCUGAGAGGAUGAUCAGCCACACUGGAACUGAGACACGGUCCAGACUCCUACGGGAGGCAGCAGUGGGGAAUAUUGGACAAUGGGCGCAAGCCUGAUCCAGCCAUACCGCGUGGGUGAAGAAGGCCUUCGGGUUGUAAAGCCCUUUUGUUGGGAAAGAAAAGCAGCAGGUUAAUACCCCGCUGUUCUGACGGUACCCAAAGAAUAAGCACCGGCUAACUUCGUG
Molecule: ribosomal RNA, 491 nt
Filed under: uncultured bacterium
Lineage: Bacteria
Description: partial 16S ribosomal RNA
Rfam family: Bacterial small subunit ribosomal RNA
Source: RNAcentral